This 413-nucleotide unclassified non-coding RNA is filed under the name Hevea brasiliensis (rubber tree). Lineage: Eukaryota; Viridiplantae; Streptophyta; Magnoliopsida; Malpighiales; Euphorbiaceae. The record is from RNAcentral.
UUUUUUCAAGUGAUUAAUCAUGGAGUGCCACUGGAGCUGCGUCAAAAGACUGAGAAGGUGGCCAAAGAAUUCUUUCAUCUGUCACUGGAUGAGAAAAGGAAGGUGAAGCGAAACGAGGUGGAUCCUAUGGGGUUCUAUGAUAGUGAACAUACUAAAAAUGUUAGGGAUUGGAAGGAGGUUUUUGACUACUUGGUGUUGGACCCAACUCUGAUCCCUGCCUCAGCAGAUCCUGAUGAUAAAGAGCUGCGGACUUUGACCAAUCAAUGGCCUCAGAACCCUUCUGAAUUCAGGGAGAUAUGCCAAGAAUACACCAAGCAAGUUGAAAAACUAGCUUUCAAGUUGCUGGAACUUAUUUCUAUGAGCUUAGGCUUACCAGCUGAUCGUUUGAAUGGCUACUUCAAGGACCAAAUCAG